UGGAACUUAAGCAUAUCAAUAAGCGGAGGAAAAGAAACCAACAGGGAUUGCCUCAGUAGCGGCGAGUGAAGCGGCAACAGCUCAAAUUUGAAAUCUGGCUCUUUCAGGGUCCGAGUUGUAAUUUGUAGAAGAUGCUUUGGGUGUAGCUCCGGUCUAAGUUCCUUGGAACAGGACGUCAUAGAGGGUGAGAAUCCCGUACGUGACUGGGUGCUUUCGCUCGUGUAAAGCUCUUUCGACGAGUCGAGUUGUUUGGGAAUGCAGCUCAAAAUGGGUGGUAAAUUUCAUCUAAAGCUAAAUAUUGGCCAGAGACCGAUAGCGCACAAGUAGAGUGAUCGAAAGAUGAAAAGCACUUUGGAAAGAGAGUUAAACAGUACGUGAAAUUGUUGAAAGGGAAGCGCUUGCAACCAGACUUGCACACUGUUGAUCAUCCGAGCUUCUGCCCGGUGCACUCAGCAGCGUUCAGGCCAGCAUCGGUUUUGGUGGGCGGAUAAAGGCCUUGGGAAUGUAGCUUCUUUCGGGGAGUGUUAUAGCCCUCGGUGCAAUGCGCCCUACCGGGACCGAGGACCGCGCUUCGGCUAGGAUGCUGGCGUAAUGGUUGUAAGCGACCCGUCUUGAAACACGGACCAAGGAGUCUAACAUCUAUGCGAGUGUUUGGGUGUCAAACCCAUACGCGUAAUGAAAGUGAACGGAGGUGAGAACCCUUAAGGGUGCAUCAUCGACCGAUCCUGAUGUCUUCGGAUGGAUUUGAGUAAGAGCAUAGCUGUUGGGACCCGAAAGAUGGUGAACUAUGCCUGAAUAGGGUGAAGCCAGAGGAAACUCUGGUGGAGGCUCGCAGCGGUUCUGACGUGCAAAUCGAUCGUCAAAUUUGGGUAUAGGGGCGAAAGACUAAUCGAACCAUCUAGUAGCUGGUUCCUGCCGAAUUUU
RNAcentral lists this ribosomal RNA (924 nucleotides) under Pseudoclathrosphaerina evamariae. RNAcentral describes it as "LSU rRNA". It matches the Rfam family "Eukaryotic large subunit ribosomal RNA", at positions 29 to 969 of the family's 3401-position model. The record is from RNAcentral. Lineage: Eukaryota; Fungi; Ascomycota.